Long non-coding RNA from Vespula pensylvanica (western yellowjacket), 846 nucleotides. RefSeq lists it as uncharacterized. The record is from RefSeq and is a predicted model, not a curated record. NCBI's taxonomy places the organism in Eukaryota, Metazoa, Arthropoda, Insecta, Hymenoptera, Vespidae. The transcript has 4 exons.
UGUUCAUGGGGGCUUUUGGAAAUGGACGGUCCGGAGUAAUAUAAAAGCGCCUCUUCAGUCGCGCUAAUGGAAACCAUCUGUAAUAUUUUAAGCAACACGCUCUCGAAUAAUUUUACAUGCGGUGUUACCACACAGUUUGCGAGAAGUUGAUAUUACAUGUACACAUUUCGAGAAGAGUCCGGCGCAAAAUUCAAAGAACCAAAAAAGAAAUAAUAAUGGGACCUAUAUACAUCAAUUCCUGGCAAUUUGCUGCAGCAGCAACAGAGCUUCGAUGUUUUCUCGUCGGAGUAGAAAGGAUGAUUGAUCCGGUAACUGUCCAAAUGAAUCAUUUUACGACAUUACAAAUAGCGAACGACCUUCAUUUCAAGAUUUAGGUCUAUUGGAAAAUAAAUUAAAAAUAUUUGUUGCUUCGUAAGUGUCCCGUGGGGCAUUUAACGGAAUGUACUCUUGCUAAAACAGUGAUUUAUUUAACUUCUCGUACAUCUAUUUCGUUCAAAUGAAUUUAAAAUUACCGAAAGUAUUAAGUUUGACGUUUUCACCUGUGAAAAGUGUGGGCAAUCAUCAGAUUAACUCAAAGGACUGGCUGUAUAAAAGCAAUUCGCUGAAUUAUGAAUUGAAACUGAUAAAUGGAGAUAAAAAAAAUUAAAAUAGGCUUUAUCUUAUCGAGAGUAUGUUGUUUCAAAUGAUAUAGAUGAUAUAGUCCAUUAGCGUGCCUGGGGGGGGGGGGCUUAUAUAUAGUUCCAUUUUCUGGAGAUCCCAAGAACCUGCAUGGAUGACUACGAAACUUAGAAUCAACAUCUUGUAUUCCUCUUUAAAGAAUACAAUAAAUUCAAUGAUCAAAUAAAA